AGUGAACGCUGGCGGUAGGCCUAACACAUGCAAGUCGAACGGCAGCACAUUAUUAGCUUGCUCUUACGGGUGGCGACUGGCGGACGGGUGAGGAAUACAGCGGAAUCUCCUUUUUCGUGGGGGACAACGUAGGGAAACUUACGCUAAUACAGCAAACGACCUACGGGUGGAAGCAGGGGAUCUUCGUACCUUUCGCGAUUGAAUGAGCCGAUGUCGGGUUAGUUAGUUGGCGGGGGAAAGGCCCACCAAGGCGCCACACCGUAGCUGGUCUGAGAGAUGGACUGUCCACACUGGAACUGGAACACGGUCCAGACUCCUACGGGGGGAAGCAGUGGGGAACUUUGGACAGAGGCCGCAAGCCUGAUCCAGCCAUACGGCGUGGGUGAAGAAGGCAUUGGGGUUGUAAAGUCCUUUUGUUGGGAAAGAAGGGCUGCAGGUUAAUGAGCCGAUGUUCUGACGGUACCCAAAGAAUAAGCACCGGCUAACUUCGUG
RNAcentral lists this ribosomal RNA (492 nucleotides) under uncultured bacterium. RNAcentral's name for it is "partial 16S ribosomal RNA". It matches the Rfam family "Bacterial small subunit ribosomal RNA", at positions 29 to 507 of the family's 1533-position model. The record is from RNAcentral.